GACUAACGCUGGCGGCGUGCUUAACACAUGCAAGUCGAACGGAAAGGCCCCUUUGUGGGUGCUCGAGUAGCGAACGGGGGAGUAACACGGGAGUAACCUGCCCUUGACUUCGGGAUAACGUCAGGAAACUGGGGCUAAUACCGGAUAGGAAUCCUUGCUGCAUGGAGGGGGUGGGAAAGCUUCGGCGGUUUUGGAUGGACUCGCGGCUGAUCAGCUGGGUGGUGGGGUAGUGGCUUACCAAGGCUUUGACGGGUGGCCGGAAGGAGAGGGAGACCGGCCACAUUGGGACUGCGAUACGGCGCAGACUCCCACGGGAGGGAGGAGUGGCGAACAUUGAGGAAUGGGUGGGAGCCUGAUACAGAACAGCCGCGGGCGGGAAGACGGUGUUGGGGUUGUACACCGAUUUCAGAAGGGGAAAAGCUUGUGGUGACGGUACCUGAAGAAGAAGCACCGGCUAACUUCGUG
RNAcentral lists this ribosomal RNA (465 nucleotides) under uncultured bacterium. RNAcentral describes it as "partial 16S ribosomal RNA". It matches the Rfam family "Bacterial small subunit ribosomal RNA", at positions 28 to 507 of the family's 1533-position model. The record is from RNAcentral.